This 498-nucleotide ribosomal RNA is filed under the name uncultured bacterium. RNAcentral describes it as "partial 16S ribosomal RNA". It matches the Rfam family "Bacterial small subunit ribosomal RNA", at positions 899 to 1397 of the family's 1533-position model. The record is from RNAcentral.
ACUCAAAGGAAUUGACGGGGGCCCGCACAAGCGGCGGAGCAUGUGGAUUAAUUCGAUGCAACGCGAAGAACCUUACCUAGGCUUGACAUAUACAGGACGACGGCAGAGAUGUCGUUUCCCUUGUGGCUUGUAUACAGGUGGUGCAUGGUUGUCGUCAGCUCGUGUCGUGAGAUGUUGGGUUAAGUCCCGCAACGAGCGCAACCCCUGUCUCAUGUUGCCAGCACGUAAUGGUGGGGACUCGUGAGAGACUGCCGGGGUCAACUCGGAGGAAGGUGGGGAUGACGUCAAAUCAUCAUGCCCCUUAUGUCUAGGGCUUCACACAUGCUACAAUGGCUAGUACAGAGGGCUGCGAUACCGCGAGGUGGAGCGAAUCCCUUAAAGCUGGUCUCAGUUCGGAUUGGGGUCUGCAACUCGACCCCAUGAAGUCGGAGUCGCUAGUAAUCGCAGAUCAGCAACGCUGCGGUGAAUACGUUCCCGGGCCUUGCACACACCGCCCGU